RNAcentral lists this ribosomal RNA (406 nucleotides) under uncultured bacterium. RNAcentral describes it as "partial 16S ribosomal RNA". It matches the Rfam family "Bacterial small subunit ribosomal RNA", at positions 29 to 526 of the family's 1533-position model. The record is from RNAcentral.
AUUGAACGCUGGCGGCAGGCCUAACACAUGCAAGUCGAACGUGUGGCGGACGGGAGCGGAAUGUUUGGGAAUCUGCCAGAUGGCGGGGUAUCACGACUGGCAACGGUAGCCGAUACCGAAUACUAUCGUAUGAGCCCAGAUGGGAGUAGCUACUAGGUGGUGUAAAGGCUCACCUAGGCGACGAUCCCGAGCUGGUCUGAGAGGGUGACCAGCAACAUUGGAACUGAGACACGGUCCAGACUCCUACGGGAGGCAGCAGUGGGGAAUAUUGCACAAGGGGGGCAAGCCUGAUGAAGACAGGCCGCGUGUAUGAAGAAGGCAUUCGGGUUGUAAAGUACUUUCAGCGGGGAGGCGUUACCCGCAGAAGAAGCACCGGCUAACUCCGUGCCAGCAGCCGCGGUAAUAC